UUUUUCCGGGAAUUUGGGAUUUUCCCGCAGGAUGAGGUCGCUCACACGGUCACCGAGAGCCGCGUCCUCCAGAGCAGCCGGCACCCCUUCCUCACCGCGCUGAAAUACGCUUUCCAAACCCACGACCGCCUCUGCUUCGUCAUGGAAUACGCCAACGGCGGCGAGCUCUUUUUCCACCUCUCCCGGGAGCUCCUGUUCCAUUUUCCCCCCAUUUUUCCCC
This is a non-coding RNA of Cyanistes caeruleus (blue tit), 220 nucleotides long. Lineage: Eukaryota; Metazoa; Chordata; Aves; Passeriformes; Paridae. The record is from RefSeq and is a predicted model, not a curated record.